CACGCUGGCACGCCAAUCAUGACACAGCACCGGCCUUCUAAUCGCAUGACGGGAAGACGAAAGAGGUUUCGCAGUCCGUGGCCAAUGUCAACCUCAAGCCGGGAACGGCGGCCGUACGUGUGACAAGGGUAUUGCAGCAACAUCUGUGAGACCAACACAGCCGCAGACAUACACACUUCUCGGCCAAAGCAAUCCCAAAGCAUCCCUCCUUUUGUUUACAUUCCCCGGAGAAAUGUCUCAAGUGAGAUUGCUGGACUGUAACUGCCGUGCUCCCCGUGCCAAAGCUUCGUGUAAUCAGGUGACUGGAGGCCAUGCUGCACUCUGAAAUUUGAGACCUCCAUCACCAAUUCGCAGACAAAUUACUCGCGGUAAGUGAACAAGAGAAAAGCGCUCUCAGGCACAAAAAGUGACUGACUAGUGCUGACCUCAACUAAAAUCAUCUCAAAAGCUUGUGUUUGAAACUGCGCCAGCAUGAUUUCCUCUGGGCUAAAAGAAAAAAAAAAAAUCUGAAUUAUCCAGUGGAACCAAUGGGUGAGGAUGAAUCAAGUGGUUGUCUUCAAUUGUUGUACAGAGAAGAUUGCAAGACUACCUUGAGGCCUGCGUAGCUACGUCUCAAUUUUUUUCUCACAGGCGCAGUGAGAGGCACAAGAUGGAUUCCUAAUGGCCCAUCAUUUUUGUUGUUGCAGUUUGCAGUCCAUCACAAUGAG
Long non-coding RNA from Syngnathus acus (greater pipefish), 707 nucleotides. RefSeq lists it as uncharacterized. NCBI's taxonomy places the organism in Eukaryota, Metazoa, Chordata, Actinopteri, Syngnathiformes, Syngnathidae. The record is from RefSeq and is a predicted model, not a curated record. The transcript has 3 exons.